This 865-nucleotide long non-coding RNA is filed under the name Marmota monax (woodchuck). The record is from RNAcentral. Lineage: Eukaryota; Metazoa; Chordata; Mammalia; Rodentia; Sciuridae.
CUAAAAAAAAAAAAAUUUAAAGGUGGCUUCCCCAGUUUAUUUUUUUUAAUUUUAAAAUCGGCAUCAUUGUACAAAAUGCAAAUUGAGAAAAGCAGAAAAGAUAUCACACAUAAUUCCACCACUUAAAUUCUCUAGCACUUCCAGAGCUAAGGAGGCAUGAUGUUUACUGAGCUCCCAAGACCAUUUUGGCAAGAGCAUGCAACGCCUAAGCAAGUCUAUGAACAGGAAAACAUGCAGUGAGGAGGGAGUACAGCAAAGACCGGAUGCCUCUCAAACCGUGUGACAAGCAAUGUGGGUUCACUUAUUGUUUGAAUGGAAUCAGUUUGAGCCUUACCCCUCCAUAUUCCCUGCAAAGAAGUUCAAAUACCUUAAGCCCCUGCCUGCACAUGGGGACUCGACCCCAACCCCUCUCUCUGACCAUAAUCAGAUCCAAGUCAGUCCCCAUUACACAAAAUUUACAUACCUCCUAGGUAUGUAAGCAGCAUCCAUCAUCAGUCUCAAAUUUUCCAGUGGGAGUCCAUUUGCCUCUGCAGGUAACCAUGAGGAUUGUCACUGAGAGCAGGGUAUUAGACAACUCCCAUCUGCUUCUCAGGUGACCACAGGGUGAGCAGGGUGUUAGAGGACAGCCACCACCUCCCCAUGGGGUGUCUGAGAGCUUGGCCACCCCUUCUCAUAACAGGGGCUGGUGAUGACUGAUUCUUGCACUCUGAGCUCCAGGUAAGUAGUCCAGCUGAGAUGCAGCCAGUUAGGUAGUGCCCCAUGCUCUCACAGACCAGGAUAUACAUUUAUAACUAAUUUUGAAGGUUACUUUUUUUUGGUACUGCAGAUUGAAACCCAGGGUGCUCAACCACCAAGCCACAUUGCC